GCUAGGAUGAACGCUGGCGGCGUGCUUAACACAUGCAAGUUGUGCGUGAUCCCAAGAAGUUUCGGACGAAAGGGAGAGCAGCAGCGGACGGGUGAGUAAAGCACAAGGACUUGUCCCGAAGAGGGGGACAACUGUGGGAAACCACAGCUAAUACCCCAUAAGCCGAGAGGUGAAAGCAGUAAUGCGCUUUAGGAGAGACUUGUGUCCUAUCAGGUAGUUGGUGAGGUAACGGCUCACCAAGCCGAAGACGGGUAGCCGGACUGAGAGGUUGUACGGCCACAUUGGAACUGAGAGACGGUCCAGACUCCUACGGGAGGCAGCAGUGGGGAAUAUUGGGCAAUGGGGGCAACCCUAGACCCAGCGACGCCGCGUGAGGGAAGGACAGCCUUCGGGUUGUAAACCUCUGUUGCAGGGGAAGAAGAAAGUGACGGUACCCUGCGAGGAAGCUCCGGCAAACUACGUGCCAGCCGCCGC
This 474-nucleotide ribosomal RNA is filed under the name uncultured bacterium. RNAcentral describes it as "bacterial SSU rRNA". It matches the Rfam family "Bacterial small subunit ribosomal RNA", at positions 26 to 518 of the family's 1533-position model. The record is from RNAcentral.